RNAcentral lists this long non-coding RNA (1337 nucleotides) under Malus domestica (apple). Its description in RNAcentral is "long non-coding RNA (MDOM_LNC004425)". Lineage: Eukaryota; Viridiplantae; Streptophyta; Magnoliopsida; Rosales; Rosaceae. The record is from RNAcentral.
GCUAAUUCUGGUAAUGCGCCUCACGGCUUUCGCGCGUUGAUUGUCUGUGCAGGUUGGGAAGGGAAAGUCAGCAUUAAAUGAUUGACUUGCUGUGCUUAACAUACAUUCAAUGCAAGAAUCUAGUUUAGUUCUAACUAAGGGAGUUGGCUUGCUAGGGAAAGGGAUAAACUAGGCUAAUUCUCUCUCAAUGAUUCUUCCGUGAAAUACAAAUGGUAUGUGCUUGGAUUUUUGGCCCCCCAAGCAACCUAAAGUCUUCCAUGACCUCGAUUCCACGUAUACCCGAUAACAUUCCGUAACCAUCCAUACCACAAUCCACUUGACAAGCCCUGAAUAUGUGACUUGGGCUUAGCAUGACAAUAAUUAACAUGAGGAAGCACGGCAUGAUGAAUAGGUAUAAGCAUGGCGUUAGUAUCUGGCUUAAUCACCGUGUAAUGGCAUGUUUGUAAAUAUAUUCCUCUUCGAUCCCUUGCCUUGGCAUGUAUUUGGGCUUGAAUGUAGGCUUUGCACGACAAUUGGGCCUUGAGACUUGGUUGGAUUGGUGUGUGACCUUUCUAGGCCCCAACAAACAGAAAAAAAAUCCAAUAUAUUAUAGGGAAAUACCUAGAAAUAGGACAAUUCCUUAAUUUUGGGACAAAAAUAGGACAUUUCGAAUAUGCACAUGACAUGCACAAAAAUCAGACAGAAAUAGAAUUUUUCCUACACCUUAAAAUGAUUUAAUUGCCCUCGUAUAUAAAUGAGUUAUUUCCUCUCAUUUUCUUAUUUCUCUCUCUCUACUCUUUCUCUCCCUCAUUCUUUCUUCUCUCACUUCCUCCCUCAUACACCCCCCUCUUCCUUUCUCAUUGUGCACACGGUGUGUAGUUGUCCCAACCAGCACCGUCUAAAUCGAAGCCACCAUAAUUUCAUCUUGUCCUCACGAGUCCAAAACACCUAGCAUUGUCACGAAUCUCAUAUUCAAUUGUUGGGAUCGAAACUUAAGCAGACCACGAGUUUUCCGGUCAUUUUCUGGCAGCACAGCAAAAAAUCGAGGCUCGAGGCCACUACCACUAGACUCGCAUCGAGGGUGGGCACAAAGCCUAAUCAUUAAAUGUUGUUGUUUUGUUGGAUUAAUUUUUUCAGGAUUUGCUCAUUGUAGUACACGACAUGCACAUGAUAUGCUUAUAGAUUUGAGCCAACUAAAAAACCCAGAGCUUACAGCCCUCUCUUUGGAAUCAGAAAAAUGACGUCAUCACAUGUCCGUAUACACUAUAUGCACACCACAUGCACAUGAUAUACACAAAACUAGAAAUCGAGCAAUGAGUUGCUUUUGCCUUAAUAAGAAACUCUAACAGCCACCUAUU